This 611-nucleotide ribosomal RNA is filed under the name Tricholoma flavovirens. RNAcentral's name for it is "LSU rRNA". It matches the Rfam family "Eukaryotic large subunit ribosomal RNA", at positions 63 to 654 of the family's 3401-position model. Lineage: Eukaryota; Fungi; Basidiomycota; Agaricomycetes; Agaricales; Tricholomataceae. The record is from RNAcentral.
AACUAACAAGGAUUCCCCUAGUAACUGCGAGUGAAGCGGGAAAAGCUCAAAUUUAAAAUCUGGGGGUCCCUGUGGCCCUCCGAGUUGUAAUCUAGAGAAGUGCUAUCCGCGCUGGACCGUGUACAAGUCUCCUGGAACGGAGCGUCAUAGAGGGUGAGAAUCCCGUCUUUGACACGGACUACCAGGGCUUAUGUGAUGUGCUCUCAAAGAGUCGAGUUGUUUGGGAAUGCAGCUCUAAAUGGGUGGUAAAUUCCAUCUAAAGCUAAAUAUUGGCGAGAGACCGAUAGCGAACAAGUACCGUGAGGGAAAGAUGAAAAGAACUUUGGAAAGAGAGUUAAACAGUACGUGAAAUUGUUGAAAGGGAAACGCUUGAAGUCAGUCGCGUUGCCCAGAAAUCAACCUUGCUUUUGCUUGGUGUACUUUCUGGUUAACGGGUCAGCAUCAAUUUUGACCGGUGGAUAAAGGUCAGGGGAAUGUGGCAUCUUCGGAUGUGUUAUAGCCCUUGGUUGCAUACAUCGAUUGGGAUUGAGGAACUCAGCAUGCCGCAAGGCCGGGUUUUUAACCACGUACAUGCUUAGGAUGCUGGCAUAAUGGCUUUAAUCGACCCGUCU